UACAGGGGGAGCAAGCGUUGUUCGGAAUUACUGGGCGUAAAGGGCGCGUAGGCGGUCAUGUAAGUCUUGUGUGAAAUCCCUCGGCUCAACUGGGGAACUGCACAGGAAACUGCUUGGCUUGAGUUCGGGAGAGGGAAGCGGAAUUCCGGGUGUAGCGGUGAAAUGCGCAGAUAUCCGGAGGAACACCGGUGGCGAAGGCGGCUUCCUGGACCGUAACUGACGCUGAGGCGCGAAAGCUAGGGGAGCAAACGGGAUUAGAUACCCGAGUA
Molecule: ribosomal RNA, 269 nt
Filed under: uncultured prokaryote
Description: partial 16S ribosomal RNA
Rfam family: Bacterial small subunit ribosomal RNA
Source: RNAcentral